UACGAAGGGGGCUAGCGUGGUUCGGAAUUACUGGGCGUAAAGCGCACGUAGGCGGAAUGUUAAGUCAGGGGUGAAAUCCCGGGGCUCAACCCCGGAACUGCCUUUGAUACUGGCAUUCUCGAGUCCGGAAGAGGUGAGUGGAAUUCCGAGUGUAGAGGUGAAAUUCGUAGAUAUUCGGAGGAACACCAGUGGCGAAGGCGGCUCACUGGUCCGGUACUGACGCUGAGGUGCGAAAGCGUGGGGAGCAAACAGG
This 253-nucleotide ribosomal RNA is filed under the name uncultured bacterium. Its description in RNAcentral is "partial 16S ribosomal RNA". It matches the Rfam family "Bacterial small subunit ribosomal RNA", at positions 524 to 776 of the family's 1533-position model. The record is from RNAcentral.